This 80-nucleotide transfer RNA is filed under the name Pseudomonadota bacterium. RNAcentral's name for it is "tRNA-Cys". It matches the Rfam family "tRNA". Rfam says of the family: Transfer RNA (tRNA) molecules are approximately 80 nucleotides in length. Their secondary structure includes four short double-helical elements and three loops (D, anti-codon, and T loops). RNAcentral also lists the same sequence under 1 other name. Lineage: Bacteria; Pseudomonadati; Pseudomonadota. The record is from RNAcentral.
GGCGGCGUAGCCAAGUGGUUCAAGGCAGCGGUUUGCAAAACCGCCAUAUGUCGCGGGUUCGAAUCCCGCCGCCGCCUCCA